This 501-nucleotide ribosomal RNA is filed under the name uncultured bacterium. Its description in RNAcentral is "partial 16S ribosomal RNA". It matches the Rfam family "Bacterial small subunit ribosomal RNA", at positions 30 to 523 of the family's 1533-position model. The record is from RNAcentral.
AUUGAACGCUGGCGGCAGGCUUAACACAUGCAAGUCGAGCGGAGCGAGGGUGCUUGCACCUUAGCUUAGCGGCGGACGGGUGAGUAAUGCUUAGGAAUCUGCCUAUUAGUGGGGGACAACAUUCCGAAAGGAAUGCUAAUACCGCAUACGCCCUACGGGGGAAAGCAGGGGAUCUUCGGACCUUGCGCUAAUAGAUGAGCCUAAGUCGGAUUAGCUAGGUGGUGGGGUAAAGGCCUACCAAGGCGACGAUCUGUAGCGGGUCUGAGAGGAUGAUCCGCCACAGUGGGACUGAGACACGGCCCAGACUCCUACGGGAGGCAGCAGUGGGGAAUAUUGGACAAUGGGGGGAACCCUGAUCCAGCCAUGCCGCGUGUGUGAAGAAGGCCUUAUGGUUGUAAAGCACUUUAAGCGAGGAGGAGGCUCUUUUGGUUAAUACCCAAGAUGAGUGGACGUUACUCGCAGAAUAAGCACCGGCUAACUCUGUGCCAGCCGCCGCAGUAA